GAUGAAGAACGUAGCGAAAUGCGAUAAGUAAUGUGAAUUGCAGAAUCCAGUGAAUCAUCGAAUCUUUGAACGCACAUUGCGCCCGCCAGCAUUCUGGCGGGCAUGCCUGUUCGAGCGUCAUUUCAACCCUCGACCUCCCUUUGGGGAAGUCGGCGUUGGGGACCGGCAGCACACCGCCGGCCCUGAAAUGGAGUGGCGGCCCGUCCGCGGCGACCUCUGCGUAGUAAUCCAACUCGCACCGGAACCCCGACGCGGCCACGCCGUAAAACACCCAACUUCUGAACGUUGACCUCGAAUCAGGUAGGACUACCCGCUGAACUUAAGCAUUCAAUAAGCGGAGGA
RNAcentral lists this unclassified non-coding RNA (342 nucleotides) under soil metagenome. RNAcentral's name for it is "partial contains 5.8S ribosomal RNA, internal transcribed spacer 2, and large subunit ribosomal RNA". The stretch from base 1 to 120 matches the Rfam family "5.8S ribosomal RNA", at positions 35 to 154 of the family's 154-position model. The record is from RNAcentral.